UGGGGAAUUUUGGACAAUGGGCGCAAGCCUGAUCCAGCCAUGCCGCGUGCGGGAAGAAGGCCUUCGGGUUGUAAACCGCUUUUGNCAGGGAAGAAAUCUUCUGAGUUAAUGCCUCGGGAGGAUGACGGUACCUGAAGAAUAAGCACCGGCUAACUACGUGCCAGCAGCCGCGGUAAUACGUAGGGUGCAAGCGUUAAUCGGAAUUACUGGGCGUAAAGCGUGCGCAGGCGGUUUUGUAAGACAGAGGUGAAAUCCCCGGGCNCAACCUGGGAACUGCCUUUGUGANUGCAAGGCUUGAGUGCGGCAGAGGGGGAUGGAAUUCCGCGUGUAGCAGUAAAUGCGUAGAUAUGCGGAGGAACACCGAUGGCGAAGGC
RNAcentral lists this ribosomal RNA (374 nucleotides) under uncultured bacterium. Its description in RNAcentral is "partial 16S ribosomal RNA". It matches the Rfam family "Bacterial small subunit ribosomal RNA", at positions 355 to 722 of the family's 1533-position model. The record is from RNAcentral.